CAAUAGCGUAUAUUAAAGUUGUUGCGGUUAAAAAGCUCGUAGUUGGAUUUCUGCCGAGGACGACCGGUCCGCCCUCUGGGUGAGUAUCUGGCUCGGCCUGGGCAUCUUCUUGGAGAACGUAGCUGCACUUGACUGUGUGGUGCGGUAUCCAGGACUUUACUUGAGGAAAUUAGAGUGUUUCAAGCAGGCAUACGCCUUGAAUACAUUAGCAUGGAAUAAUGGAAUAGGACGCUGGUUCUAUUUUGUUGGUUUUGAGAACCAGAGUAAUGAUUAAUAGGGACAGUUGGGGGCAUUCAUAUUUCAUUGUCAGAGGUGAAAUUCUUGGAUUUAUGAAAGACGAACUUCUGCGAAAGCAUUUGCCAAGGAUGUUUUCAUUAAUCAAGAACGAAAGUUGGGGGCUCGAAGAUGAUCAGAUACCA
This 419-nucleotide ribosomal RNA is filed under the name uncultured eukaryote. RNAcentral's name for it is "SSU rRNA". It matches the Rfam family "Eukaryotic small subunit ribosomal RNA", at positions 592 to 1017 of the family's 1831-position model. The record is from RNAcentral.